This is a transfer RNA of Callipepla squamata (scaled quail), 105 nucleotides long. It matches the Rfam family "tRNA". From Rfam's summary of the family: Transfer RNA (tRNA) molecules are approximately 80 nucleotides in length. Their secondary structure includes four short double-helical elements and three loops (D, anti-codon, and T loops). The record is from Rfam. NCBI's taxonomy places the organism in Eukaryota, Metazoa, Chordata, Aves, Galliformes, Odontophoridae.
GUCAGGAUGGCCGAGUGGUCUAAGGCGCCAGACUCAAGGCAGCUCCUUCCCGUGGGGAUUUCUGGUCUCCGAAUGGAGGCGUGGGUUCAAAUCCCACUCCUGACA